GAUGAAGAACGUAGCGAAAUGCGAUAAGUAGUGUGAAUUGCAGAAUUCAGUGAAUCAUCGAAUCUUUGAACGCACAUUGCGCCCCCUGGUAUUCCGGGGGGCAUGCCUGUCCGAGCGUCAUUGCUGCCCUCAAGCACGGCUUGUGUGUUGGGCCCCCGUCCCCGGUUCUCCCCGGGGACGGGCCCGAAAGGCAGCGGCGGCACCGCGUCCGAUCCUCGAGCGUAUGGGGCUUUGUCACCCGCUCUGUAGGCCCGGCCGGCGCCAGCCGACACCCCAACUUUAUUUUCUAAGGUUGACCUCGGAUCAGGUAGGGAUACCCGCUGAACUUAAGCAUAUCAAUAAGCGGAGGA
Molecule: unclassified non-coding RNA, 350 nt
Filed under: soil metagenome
Description: partial contains 5.8S ribosomal RNA, internal transcribed spacer 2, and large subunit ribosomal RNA
Rfam family: 5.8S ribosomal RNA (bases 1-120)
Source: RNAcentral